RNAcentral lists this ribosomal RNA (253 nucleotides) under uncultured bacterium. RNAcentral describes it as "partial 16S ribosomal RNA". It matches the Rfam family "Bacterial small subunit ribosomal RNA", at positions 524 to 776 of the family's 1533-position model. The record is from RNAcentral.
UACGUAGGGGGCAAGCGUUGUCCGGAAUCAUUGGGCGUAAAGAGCGUGUAGGCGGCCCGGUAAGUCCGCUGUGAAAGUCCAGGGCUCAACCCUGGGAUGCCGGUGGAUACUGUCGGGCUCGAGUCCGGAAGAGGAGUGUGGAAUUCCUGGUGUAGCGGUGAAAUGCGCAGAUAUCAGGAGGAACACCAAUGGCGAAGGCAGCACUCCGGGACGUGACUGACGCUGAGACGCGAAAGCGUGGGGAGCAAACAGG